UACGAAGGGGGCUAGCGUUAUCCGGAGUUACUGGGCGUAAAGGGCGUGCAGGUGGUCAUUUAAGUUCGGCGUGAAAGCUCUUGGCUAAACCGGGAGAGGUCGUCGGAGACUGGAUGGCUAGAGGGUGAUAGAGGCGGGUGGAAUUCCGGGUGUAGUGGUGAAAUGCGUAGAGAUCCGGAGGAACACCAGUGGCGAAGGCGACCCGCUGGGUCACACCUGACACUGAGACGCGACAGCAUGGGGAGCGAACGGG
Molecule: ribosomal RNA, 253 nt
Filed under: uncultured bacterium
Lineage: Bacteria
Description: partial 16S ribosomal RNA
Rfam family: Bacterial small subunit ribosomal RNA
Source: RNAcentral